Molecule: ribosomal RNA, 497 nt
Filed under: uncultured bacterium
Lineage: Bacteria
Description: partial 16S ribosomal RNA
Rfam family: Bacterial small subunit ribosomal RNA
Source: RNAcentral
GAUGAACGCUGGCGGCGUGCCUAAUACAUGCAAGUCGAGCGAACAGACGAGGCGCUUGCUCCUCUGACGUUAGCGGCGGACGGGUGAGUAACACGUGGAUAACCUACCUAUAAGACUGGGAUAACUUCGGGAAACCGGAGCUAAUACCGGAUAAUAUAUUGAACCGCAUGGUUCAAUAGUGAAAGACGGUUUUGCUGUCUCUUAUAGCUGGAUCCGCGCCGCAUUAGCUAGUUGGUAAGGUAACGGCUUACCAAGGCAACGAUGCGUAGCCGACCUGAGAGGGUGAUCGGCCACACUGGAACUGAGACACGGUCCAGACUCCUACGGGAGGCAGCAGUAGGGAAUCUUCCGCAAAGGGCGAAAGCCUGACGGAGCAACGCCGCGUGAGUGAUGAAGGUCUUCGGAUCGUAAAACUCUGUUAUUAGGGAAGAACAAAUGUGUAAGUAACUAUGCACGUCUUGACGGUACCUAAUCAGAAAGCCACGGCUAACUACGUG